RNAcentral lists this ribosomal RNA (452 nucleotides) under Brachytheciastrum velutinum. Its description in RNAcentral is "eukaryotic LSU rRNA". The stretch from base 1 to 103 matches the Rfam family "5.8S ribosomal RNA", at positions 51 to 154 of the family's 154-position model. Lineage: Eukaryota; Viridiplantae; Streptophyta; Bryopsida; Hypnales; Brachytheciaceae. The record is from RNAcentral.
AAAUGCGAUACGUAGUGUGAAUUGCAGAAUUCCGCGAAUCAUCGAGUCUUUGAACGCAAGUUGCGCCCGAGGCUUGUCCAAGGGCAUUUCCGCUAGAGCGUCACCGCGCCCCCCACCGAUCCACUCUCGCCGCGAGGCGACAGUCGGGUCGAGUGAAAGUGGCCGUCCCGGUUUACGAGGUGGUCUUCUCGCGAAGGCCAUCCUUAGAAGGGUCGGCUGAAAUGGAUGGAAUUGGGCCGCCGUGGUGACACAGUCCGCGAUCGGGUGAUUUUGUGGCGAGCCUCCUCCGGGAGGGUCGCCGUGAAUUUUUCUAAGUGCGAGUCUGCGUCCCCCAGUUGGCUUUGGUUACCUCAUGCAGGUCGAGCGCGCCCCCCGCGGCGCGCGUCACGCAUCAGACCUCUAAUCGGAAAAGACUACCCGCUGAGUUUAAGCAUAUCACUAAGCGGAGGAGA